GGGCCCGUAGCUCAGCCAGGAUAGAGCACCGGCCUCCGGAGCCGGUGGUCCCGGGUUCAAAUCCCGGCGGGCCCG
RNAcentral lists this transfer RNA (75 nucleotides) under Stygiolobus azoricus. RNAcentral's name for it is "tRNA-Arg". It matches the Rfam family "tRNA". Rfam says of the family: Transfer RNA (tRNA) molecules are approximately 80 nucleotides in length. Their secondary structure includes four short double-helical elements and three loops (D, anti-codon, and T loops). Lineage: Archaea; Thermoproteati; Thermoproteota; Thermoprotei; Sulfolobales; Sulfolobaceae. RNAcentral also lists the same sequence under 4 other names. The record is from RNAcentral.